UCGUCCACCUCCUCUGCUGACUGUUCCUCUGCCUCCACCACUGUGAACGCACUGAGUUAAGGGGUUAAUCCCGACUGGUUCAGAAAACUAAACCAAUGUUAAACAUUUGCAUAUUUCUGCCUGUCGUACUAUAUAUCUAAGUGUCCAUGCAGACAGACAUCAAAUGAACACAGACCAUUUGAACACACUUUCCAUCACAUGGAAAUAGACCCCACCUCAGUUUGCUAAAUGCUAAUGAACAGUUUCUCAUAGUUACGCCCCACUAAGUCUAAAAGCAACCACAUCAGUCAAAAGUUCAUUAAUUCUAGGGAAAUGCUGAUCCCCUUCCAGUUUACCCAUCUCAUUUAUUCUCUUGAGAAUAUCAAUGACAAUUUUCAUAGAAAUGUCAACCUGCCCCGCAGUACUGAAGCCGCUGCAAGUUAAUCUUCCAUUUUGGAGCAUUGCCUCAUCUGAUCCAAUGGUUUACCAUCAAAACUUCAUGUCUACAGAGCCAAAGCUCCCCCAAAUUCUGAUUCUGUUGCCAACGUUGUUGUACUGUGAUAGAAAAACACUUCUGCCUCAAACUUAUUUUUAACAUGCUGAAGGUAAACGACGGCACCACAAAUCCAAAGCUUUUUUUGUUUUCAAACGUAACCCAUCUACGGCAAUUUCAGGUUAUUACAAGAGCUAUAUCUUCCUUUCAUCUGCUCUUGCUUUAUGAUAAACCAACCAUGAGUGCUUAGCGGUGAAAGUAUGAUAUUUAGCCUUUUAUCCCAAAUAUUUUCAAAUAUUGACCUCCAUGAAAUUUUCAACAUUUUCCAGAAGAAGUUAAAACCGUUAGCAAGAUUUUCCAACUAAGAAAAUUGUUUUUAUAAAAGUUUGAAGAACCUAUGGGCAGCUAAAACCAAAGAAGCUGCAAGACUAACAAACUAACUCUGAAGCCUUAAAUAAUAUUUUCUCACCAAAACAGUUAAAUGAGUAAGUGGAAUAGGGCCAUAUGACUAUACCUAUCUUCUUCAAACACAGAAUUAUUUUCAGAUUUGCCUCUUCACAUCCAGAUCAACUUCUAUAAUGUAGUGAACAAACACAAAUUUUGUGGUUCAGAAGCAUAUCAUAAAAGUCCAUAAAACUGAUCCUUGAACCAAAAACUAACCCCUAAAAAAAAGAAUCAGUCCAUAUUUUCACGCAUACUUUAACUUAUCCAGUAAAAAUGUGAGAACCAAAUUAUAUUGUACAGUAACCAAGAAAUUAUACCUCAUCAUUAUUGAUUAUCCCUGCGUCAUCAUUCCUCUCAGACUUCUUGCUCCAUACUAACUUGAAAAUGGAGUGCAUCAACUCCUGUAGAAUGCCAGCAAAUCAAAACUGAGCGGCAGUAUGGAGAGAGACAGACAGAGACACAGAGAGAGUGAACCGACUGACUGGAUCAAAAGAGAGAUCCUCCAUUUGAAUAUCAUGCGGUCUAUAGGUGGGGCGGGCUAAAAGCAGCAACCAGAAAGUGAAGAGCUUCAGAAAUGAGAGGUCUCUUGUCACCCAAUCCCACAGCGAUAGGGAUUGGGUAGGAUGGAGUAAUCAGGUCAAUCCCAACCAGAAUAAAGGACCAGGCUCAAAUAAAGCCACACAGGCUCUUCAACUUAAUUUCCAGGAUGACGGCUACCAUUCAAUUUUCACCUUCCACUGCAUAAAAGUAAGCAGAGAUGUGAGGGAAAUAUUCCAUACUCUAAACUAAUUAAUGCAUUCAUUAUGUUCAAAUUUUAUAAAAAAAUUAUUAAUACUAUAAUUUCGCAUAAAGUCGAAUACGACCAAAAGUUGACAUUUCAGGUGCAACUGGAUAAACCAUAACCAAAAACAACGACUAACACAACGCUAAACCUAAACUUUAAGCCUAGAAAUAAAACAGGUCCGGUCUGUAUCUGGGCCAAAACCUGAGCUUGGAUAUGUUCGCACCCCAGUUUCGUGCAUAGAACAAAGAAAAAAAGUGAAAACAAGGCAGUAUUUCUCUCCCUUUGAGCCAUCAGUGGAUCAAAAUUUCAGUUAGACUAUUGUAUACAUUAAAUGAUAGCACGUCAUAAAAUUAUCGUGUGACUAAAAAAGUAACUAAUCUUCAGAGCUCAGCAUGUCUCUUUAGUCCUGACAACAAUCUUCCUCGAAUCCUUGAGAUACAAUGAGAGGAAAACAUGAUCAUCAAGAGAUAUCCUAACAUAGAUUUAUAAACUGUGUGGAAUGAAAGAACUUCAUCAGCUCACCAAUUACUUCUUAAUACAAAAAAGGAGACAUCACACGUAAAUCUUCAAAUGAGUGGCCGACAUGGUCUGCACAUAAAGCCAUUUGAUCCAGCUCUGCUCUUGAUUGGGACAAUUUAACAUAUCUUCUUCCUAACCUUGCUUUAAUACCACUGUUUUUCAUAGGCCCCAUCCCAUUUCUUCUCUUAAGGCAAUAACCUAACGCCCAGCUUAAUGGAGAACGUAUCAACAAGGCAACAUACAAAGCAUCAUUGAAAGCAUCUAGUUAGUAUUGAAUCAAUACCGUUCAAAUAAUCCAACUCUGAUUUUAACCCGGAGAGAACUAAUUCAUCGACUACAAUAUCUCGAACAUCACUGAAUUAUAUUCAUACUAAGAGAGACUCUCACAAUGCUACAAGGUGAUCACAUUUACAACGGGAAAUCCACUAAACCCUUGGGAGCUAAUCUUGGAGGAUGGGGGAAGUUCUUCAAUCCAGCAGGCACAUUCGCAUCUUAGCAUUCCAAACAUGUUAUGUACAAGCAUGAGCAAAAUUAGUUAUUAGUUUAGCAUAAGAAAAAAAAUCCAAAUAGUUAUUAGGAAUCAUCCACGUCCUAAGUGAAAGCAUUACCAGCAACAACUUCAUGAAUUGUUUCUUGCCUUUGGCAUCGUCAUGUGACAUUUAAUUUCCUGAAGACUUAUACUUGUUUCCAUGUAGAACAUAGAUUUAAACCCUUUAGCACCCAAAUUAGGAACUUGAAUGAGAGGCAUUCAGCCACAACGUCAAAAGUGCGAUGUAGCAUCUUUAUUGGUCAAAGAAUAGUUAGUACACAAGCCUGGGUUCCAUCUAGAAUGUCACACAACUCUACCUCUUCUCUCCGACCUCAGCACACUGACCAUUGGGAGAACACCUUUUACCCUCAUUGCCCUUGAGACGGAUCCGAGAAUGCAAUGCAAAUAUGGAGUUCAUAUCUUUCCCAACAUGGAUCUAUCACACAGUCCACUAAACUUUUCAGUCACUAAUGACAUAUAUUCUUAGCAAAAAUUUCCUUAGUUUCGAUAAAUAAUCUAUAAAACGACAGUCUCAGUCAAAUGAAUCCUUUUAAGCAUGCUGAGUAGAAAAUUUUUCCGAGAAAUAUAAAUAAAUAAUCCUAAAGGUAUUAAACGAAAUUAAGAAAUUAUUGUUAUUGAACUAUGAGCUACAGGUCUAUUCCUCGACAGAGGCACGUGUAGAAUAGGCCUAUACAAAAUGGCAUCUCGAAUGAGAAUUACAGUGGCAUGUCCAUAGGUUGACCCUUCUGAUUAUUGUAUGUAAAAACGGCUCCAACUGAAACUAAGAUUCGUGGCUCAGUCAUUCAAACUGGACUCAUGAAUCAUCGGUCCGAGGCCCCCAUUCCCAACUUCUAGCAACCAUGGACUCCUCGCCAGCUAAGACCCAGAGAGAAACUGUUGUCUGACCCUUGCCUGAGCAAUGACCGUCCUUAAUCUUCCUGAAGCCUUGCCAGGCCUUGGAGUUCCCACCGUGACAGAGUGUGCCAGCCAGCCCGUAGUCCAUAAUCUCACACGAAGCCAGAAGCCAAUGACAAUCCUUUUGGCUGACCUGAAAGUCCAGGUCGCCGAUGCGGAAAACUCCAGCAGCGCGACAACCCCGUGUCCCACUCCCGGCAGAUCCGACCAGCGGUGGCGCAGGGACCACGUGCCCGGGGAAGGAGCCCUCUUAUCAACUAUUAUAACGCAUGCCCCAAUUGGAAAAAAUGAAAGAGGGGAUAAAGCAAACCACUAGAGCACCGAAUUCAUCUCCCUUUCUUCACUGCGGCAGCUUCCAGCGCCCAUAGUAGCAGUAGUCGAAGCAACAGACGGCUCCUCUUGCUAAGCCAGGAGGACGGACACGUCGGAGACUAUCUGCCACAACCGGGCGGAGAUGAGUAGAGAAGACUUUGGGUGAACGCACGAGGAGAAGCUUGAUGGCGCCCUCUCUU
Molecule: long non-coding RNA, 4175 nt
Filed under: Spirodela polyrhiza (greater duckweed)
Lineage: Eukaryota; Viridiplantae; Streptophyta; Magnoliopsida; Alismatales; Araceae
Description: long non-coding RNA (SPOL_LNC002679)
Source: RNAcentral